Trachemys scripta elegans is the source of this 485-nucleotide long non-coding RNA. RefSeq lists it as uncharacterized. The transcript has 2 exons. The record is from RefSeq and is a predicted model, not a curated record. Lineage: Eukaryota; Metazoa; Chordata; Testudines; Emydidae.
CCUCCGCUGCGCCCCGCCGGCCCUCGCGCGCCCGCCCCGGCCUCUCCCAGCGCGCCCGGGGGCCGCUAGCCGGCGCUGGGCCUAGCCUGGAGCCGGGGGGGAGCCUCCCGCCACCUCCUCCCCCGAGGUGCAGCCGCUGUGGGGCGCAGCUAAUCCCGGGACCCACCCAACACCCUCCGGCCAGAGCCCCCGUGGCCUAGCGCCCCCCCGGUGCGCCUCAGGCACCCCAGCCAAGAGGUCAAACAAAAGCUCCACCUCAAAAGCAGAUGAAAACGAUGCUUGGAUGAUCCCUCUUCUGCAGCAAAGUGUAACCUGGAACCAAAACCCAUCUGCCGAGCAACAUCCCUGUGCUCCACUAAGCCAAGAUGCAAAAACCAAAUGCUACGAUCCAUUGUGCACAAAUCUGAACCCAACCCUACUUAACAUUUAGUGUUUUUCUUUUUUGUUAAAUCCCUGUUUUUUAAAAUAGAAGCUUUUGGCAAUUA